RNAcentral lists this ribosomal RNA (253 nucleotides) under uncultured bacterium. Its description in RNAcentral is "partial 16S ribosomal RNA". It matches the Rfam family "Bacterial small subunit ribosomal RNA", at positions 524 to 776 of the family's 1533-position model. The record is from RNAcentral.
UACGUAGGGAGCAAGCGUUGUCCGGAAUCAUUGGGCGUAAAGCGCGCGUAGGCGGCCCCGUAAGUCCGCUGUGAAAGUCAAAGGCUCAACCUUUGAAAGCCGGUGGAUACUGUGGGGCUAGAGUCCGGAAGAGGCGAGUGGAAUUCCUGGUGUAGCGGUGGAAUGCGCAGAUAUCAGGAGGAACACCGGUGGCGAAGGCGGCUCUCUGGACCACAACUGACGCUGAGGCGCGAAAGCUAGGGGAGCAAACAGG